UACGGAGGGUGCGAGCGUUGUUCGGAAUCACUGGGCGUAAAGCGCGUGUAGGCGGCCUUCUAAGUCUGGUGUGAAAGCCCGGGGCUCAACCCCGGAAGUGCAUUGGAUACUGGAAGGCUGGAGUACCGGAGAGGAGGGUGGAAUUCCUGGUGUAGCGGUGAAAUGCGUAGAUAUCAGGAGGAACACCUGUGGCGAAGGCGGCCCUCUGGACGGAUACUGACGCUGAGACGCGAAAGCGUGGGGAGCAAACAGG
RNAcentral lists this ribosomal RNA (253 nucleotides) under uncultured bacterium. Its description in RNAcentral is "partial 16S ribosomal RNA". It matches the Rfam family "Bacterial small subunit ribosomal RNA", at positions 524 to 776 of the family's 1533-position model. The record is from RNAcentral.